Molecule: ribosomal RNA, 377 nt
Filed under: uncultured bacterium
Lineage: Bacteria
Description: bacterial SSU rRNA
Rfam family: Bacterial small subunit ribosomal RNA
Source: RNAcentral
AUACGUAGGGGCCGAGCGUUGUCCGGAGUUACUGGGCGUAAAGCGCGCGCAGGCGGCUCGUCAAGCCUGACGUGAAAGCCCCCGGCUCAACCGGGGAGGGUCGUCGGGGACUGGCGGGCUUGAGGUCGGCAGGGGUUGGUGGAAUUCCCGGUGUAGUGGUGAAAUGCGUAGAGAUCGGGAGGAACACCCGUGGCGAAGGCGGCCAACUGGGCCGAACCUGACGCUGAGGCGCGAAGGCGUGGGGAGCGAACGGGAUUAGAUACCCCGGUAGUCCACGCAGUAAACGAUGCAGACUAGGCGUGGGGGGACUUGACCCCCUCCGUGCCGUAGCUAACGCGUGAAGUCUGCCGCCUGGGGAGUACGGCCGCAAGGCUAAA